RNAcentral lists this long non-coding RNA (1324 nucleotides) under Homo sapiens (human). RNAcentral describes it as "HSALNT0074110". Lineage: Eukaryota; Metazoa; Chordata; Mammalia; Primates; Hominidae. The record is from RNAcentral.
CAAAAACUGAAACUGUUUAACUGAAAGUACUGUCAAAUAUUUUCAUGUAAAAUGAAAAUGUAGACUUUUUAUGACUUGCAGGGCUCUUAGGGGAUCUAUUUAAUGAAUUGUCUCAUUUUACCAGCAAUAAAACUAUCGAGGAGAAAGAUCAAGUCAAGCUCACCAGCCUCUGAGUAGCAAACCUCAGACUUGGUUUCCUUAUCUUCUGCUCCACUGCCAGGAAGGAAGAAAGGAAGGAAAGAAAGAAAGAAAGACACCCCCACACAUACAUGAGCAAAUGUUUUCCACAAGGAUGCAAAGAAAAUCUAAUAGAGAAAGAAAGGAUAGUCUUUUCAAAAACAAUGCUGGAGCAACUGGAUAUCCACAUGCAAAAAAGAAACUUGAAUCUGCCCCUUAAUAUAUCUAUUUAUUUUGCCACAUGCAAAAAUUAACUUAAAAUGAAUCAUUGACUUAACUGAAAAUAAAAUGACAAAACUUCUUUUUAAAAUAGGAGAAUAACUUUUGUGACCUUAUGAUAGGCAGAUUUUUCAGAUAUAACAAAAAUAAUCUACGAAAGAACAAACUGACAAAUUGGACCUUAUCAAAAUUAAAUGUACUGUUCUUCAAAAGAUACUGCUAAUAGAAUAAGAAAAUAAGCCACAGGAUGGAAGAAUAUAUUUCCAAAUGAUUUCUAUAAUUUUUUAAAAAACUAGUAUCCAGAAUACAUAAUGAUUCAAAAUAAAUUGAAUCACUGUAUUCAAAAGAAAUAACCCAAUGUUUUAAAGGACAAAAGAUUUGAACAGACACUUCAGCAAAAAAGAUAAUGAGUGGCAAAUAAACACAUGAAAAGAGUCUCAACAUCAUUAGUCAUUAUGGAAAUGGAAAUUGGAACCACAAUGAGAUGCCCCUUCAUACCUGGGUAAAUGGAUAAAAUUUUAAAUAUCAAUAAACAAACAAAUAAGUAGAAAUUGACCAUACCAAGCAUUGGUAAAGAUAUAGGAGAACUGGAACUCUCAUACACUUGAUGGCAGAAUUAUAAAAUAGUAUAACCCAUGGUCAUUGGAGGAAACAGCAUAGAUGUUAAUCAACAAAUUAAAAAUAAAACAACCAUAUGAUCCAGCAAUCCUACUUCUGGGUAUUUAUCCAAAGGAAAUGAAAUCAGUAAGUCAGUGAGAUAUCUGUACUUCUAUGUUCAUUGCAGAUUAUUCACAAUUUCAAGACAUGGAAUCCACCUAAGUGUCUAUUAAUGGGAAUAAAUAAAAUGUAGUAUAUAUACACAAUGGAAUAGUAUUCAGCCAUUCAGCCAUAAAAAAUGAAAUCUAAUCAUUUGUGACAACAUAGAUAA